GACUGUAGGACAGGAGAAUACAGUCUAUUGCUCCCUGUUAUCAGCCAUUUCAGGCUGGUGGUAGGCUGUAGGACAGGAGAAUACAGUCUAUUGCUCCCUGUUAUCAGCCAUUUCAGGCUGGUGGUAGGCUGUAGUACAGAGAUGCUUACAUCACAUCACAUAUCAACUGCUCCUUUUGUGGAGCACAUUGUAUACAGUUUGAAACUGGCCACCAGAUGGCGUCCUGCUAGCCCCACACACAUUAGAUUGUCAUCAGUAGCGUUGUUAUAUACUGGGGGGGGCUGAUAUUUCGAGCAGGGGCAAGACAGUAACUUAGAUAUAUAUUGGGUGUAUUGCAGAAUUAUUAAUGGGCGUGUUUUGUUUUGCAGAUGCCGCUGAAAAUAACGUCAAUACAACAGAAGAGGCUCCCGAAGCCAACAAUCACCCUUAAGAUGAUUCUGAUGAAGACCAACGCUGUAAGAAACAGCAGCAAUUACCAAAGUGAACCACGCCAUUUAUAACAGCAGUAACGUGUCUACUGCCCAUCCUGGGCCGAACAAAAUGUUGUAGAUACAAGCCAGACACUGGAGGCCACCACAAGUCAUCUCCAGGUCUUCUCAUCCUCAUGGUUGGCAUUAGACCUCUUCCCAUAAGACCUUUUGAUACAAAAAAUCAAGUUACCACUGGAACCAGCUCAGUCUUCACUGAGGUCCCGAGUAUUCUCUUCCUGGCGCCUCUGCCUUCAGGAUGACUCGAGGUGGACAGAGCCUUCACACCAGGAGAACUAAACACUAACACUAAUGAGGUCUCCAAGACUGGAGACAAUGGCUGCUCCCAUUGUAGGAGGCCAUUAUGUACAACUGGUUCAUAGAAAAAGACGACGCUAACCAAAGAUGGGCUAGAACCUCCUAGACAGCACUACAGUCGGAAGUGUACUUGACCAUUCCACUGCUAUGGGCCCCCAGGGGCCAAACACAGCCUCCCUAAUCUGUGGUUCCCAAUACAGAAUGAUGCUUGACCAAUGAACUUUCCUCCCUGUGUAAGAAGCACCUCUAUUUUGGGGUCCUGGAUUAGGAGGAGGAAACGCAUCUUGACUUCCUCUUUAUUGCAUUCCCCAUGCUUUAACAGGUUGCUAUGGUAACACAGAGCGCCCCUUAUCUGCUGUUCUGACACUGGAAUCUUCUAUUGCUUUAUUGUAUUUACUGAUUGUAAAUAAAGUUUAUAUAUGUGAGAAACAAAA
This is a long non-coding RNA of Bufo gargarizans (Asiatic toad), 1219 nucleotides long. RefSeq lists it as uncharacterized. The transcript is spliced from 2 exons. Lineage: Eukaryota; Metazoa; Chordata; Amphibia; Anura; Bufonidae. The record is from RefSeq and is a predicted model, not a curated record.